Eleginops maclovinus (Patagonian blennie) is the source of this 947-nucleotide long non-coding RNA. RefSeq lists it as uncharacterized. Lineage: Eukaryota; Metazoa; Chordata; Actinopteri; Perciformes; Eleginopidae. The record is from RefSeq and is a predicted model, not a curated record. The transcript has 2 exons.
UUAAAGAAUACGGAAAAAUAUUCAUCAGUUAAAUACUUUAAAAGCUCUGUGUGAACAAAUCAAUACAUCUAUUUACAAAGAUUAAUAAAUACUAACAAAAAUAAAUAAUAUGAAUAGCAAGUUAAAAGUAUAUUUAGAAUAUAGAAAAUGUUUCCACUGAUAAUUCUGUAUCAUAUUCAUUUCUGCAUGUUUUAAUUGAAGUUUGUAUUUAAGUGUUUUUCUGCUGAAUAAAGAUCGCUCAGUGAAGCGUUUGGGCACUGUUCUCCAGGGCGUCAUGUGACCUCCCGCGUCACGUGACCUCUGUCUCCGUUACCGGUCGACUCGGUGGCUCACGGCGUCUCUAAUGGCCGCCACAGCCGAGUCCUGAUCCAGGAUCUGCAAACGUUUGUAGGAGGAGGCGUACCCGUCGUCAGUCUGCUGCUCAGCUCCUCCUGUCUCUGGAUCUCUGAGAGAUGACUCAGCGUUUCCUGCGCUCUCUGAUGCUGACUCAGCGUUUCCUGCGCUCUCUGAUGCUGACUCAGCGUUUCCUGUUCUCGCUGCUGAUUGGCUGUCGGCAGCAGAGGCGGCUCCCAGCCGUCCCUGAACGUCAGAACGAAGGGCGGGAAGUAAUGGUCCUUCGGCCACUCCAACCUGCCGGAGACAAGGAGUAAAACUUAGUAAACAAAGAGUCUAAAAUGUGUUUGUUUAAUCCUUUACAUUAAACUGCACCUCUGACUUCAAAAUACAACUUAUUUUAACAUUUCUAUUUUCGGGACAUUUCUGGAUUAUUAUUUCUACUUUCACAAUUUUAUUUUGAAUUUUCUUAAUGAUUGUUUUAUUCUAGUUUAUGUUUUUAUAACAAAAUGUAUUUCUGAAAAAACUUUCCUUUCUUUAAUUCAUUUCUUGUAUGUAUUUCUCAAUUUAUCGACAUUUAAGGCAUUUUGGGGAUAUAAAUUAUAAUACUGUUA